This 481-nucleotide ribosomal RNA is filed under the name uncultured bacterium. RNAcentral describes it as "partial 16S ribosomal RNA". It matches the Rfam family "Bacterial small subunit ribosomal RNA", at positions 30 to 506 of the family's 1533-position model. The record is from RNAcentral.
AUUGAACGCUGGCGGCAUGCCUUACACAUGCAAGUCGAACGGUAACGGGCCUUCGGGUGCCGACGAGUGGCGAACGGGUUAGUAAUACAUCGGAACGUGCCCGAUCGUGGGGGAUAACGAGGCGAAAGCUUUGCUAAUACCGCAUACGAUCUACGGAUGAAAGCAGGGGACCGCAAGGCCUUGCGCGGACGGAGCGGCCGAUGGCAGAUUAGGUAGUUGGUGGGAUAAAAGCUUACCAAGCCGACGAUCUGUAGCUGGUCUGAGAGGAUGAUCAGCCACACUGGGGCUGAGACACGGCCCAGACUCCUAGGGGGGGCAGGAGUGGGGAAUUUUGGAAAAUGGGCGAAAGCCUGAUCCAGCCAUGCCGCGUGAAGGAGGAAGGCCUUCGGGUUGUAAACUGCUUUUGUAGGGAACAAAAAGCCUUUUUUUAAAACAGGGGGGUCAUGACGGUACCGUAAGAAUAAGCACCGGCUAACUACGU